CAAUGCGAUAACGAACCGGUAUUCGUUUUUGUUUUUUUUUUUUUUGAAGAAAUAUUUUACAGUGCGUUAAUAUUGUUGAAGUAAUUGCGUUAAUGUGUAGUUAAGCAGUAGAGUUUUGUGCUAUCAGUGAAAAUGUGUACAACAUUGACUUUGAAGAACCCCCUGUGCGGUCGAAAAACCGCAGAGUGAAACUGUUCCCAUUCCAAACGGGUUGGAAAAUAGUGGAAAACAAACAUUUGUUUUUGAAGUGCUUUUGAACUGUUUUGUUUCUUUUUUGCACAACGCACAACAAGCCGACCAAGGUUUUUAUAGAUUUUUGGCGUUACAAAAGUGUGUGUUUGUGUGUGUGUGUGUGCAUAGAUAAACAAAAAAACGCCACCCCCUCGCAUCACGAUCCGACAUUCGUGCGACUUAAUGUGCAUCCCUUCUAAUAGUGCCUGUUUGUGUAUAUGUGUCAAUAAGUGGUGCGCUAAGAGCAAAACGCGAUCAUGAUUUAGUUGGUUAUGAGAUAGAGAGAGAGAAAACAAAAAUUGUAAAAGUUAUACCAACCAAAUGUAAUACAACAGCAAUUCGUUUAAAGAAAAACUCCUUUGAAUGAAGGAAGCUAAUAUUCAGUGUCGCACUGUCUCUUUCUCUCUUUCGCAUUUUCUCGCAGUGUGCGAUCAAGCUAAUACGAUUUGGAAUAUGUGUGUGUGCUCGUUUGUGUGCGUGUGAUACAAUAAUAUCCGGUGAAGCAAAACAAAUCGAUCGAAACAAUCGCAAGUGUUCUUCCCUUGAGCUCUCUCAAGGCGUUUGAAUUUGGCAAAGGAAAAAUCCAUCCGAUCGAGAUCAUUGGGCGCGAUCUUACAGUGUGUGAAUGUAUCACCGUACGCCAUUUCCGAUGGAUUGUAUGCCUCAGUGUGCUAUUUGUCGUGCCUUGGAUACAUGCGAAUGAGUGCUUAGAAGCUUUGUAUUGAAAACAAGGGCUGUUUAAGAGAUUCUGGAUGCAGCUUAAAGGAAUCCUUCACCCAGGCGUACUUGCGCGUCCGCUCUUCUAGCGCGUUUUCGUGUAGAUGUGUGUGUGUGUGUUUUUGUGCGUUUGUAUGGUGUGAUAUUGCGUGUACUGUGGGGUGGAGAACAGCAAAUCGUCCCACACGUCCCAUAAUACACACCGGCAUUAGUGUUUAUACUACGCUGCCUCGCCAACUAUAACUAUCGUUACUAUAAAAGCAAACAAAAACAGUAUGUUUCACCUUUCAUCUCGUCAUUAUGUCGUGUAGAUGUACUAACGAUCAACGUCAUUAGUGUCAGUGACAGUGUGUAUCUGCUCCGAUAGUAAAACUCCGAUAGCGCGCUGAAACUGAAACAAAAAUCGCGACAUUAAAAACUGACAUUCGUUUUGUACUUCUUUCUUUUCCUUCUUUCUUUCCUUAUAUGCCCAUGUUUGGCUAAAAUAUUGGGCUGAAUGGUGUAUUAUGCGCUAUUCGCAUUACGGGCUGCUCGGUGACGCCAUUCCCUCCUUUUUUGUGACGCGUGUACCUACGAUGAACUUUAACCUCUGGCGUUGAUGCUGGCACAUCCGUCAACAUUCAACACACGACAUAACCGGCGGAAAAUGUAUCGGUAAAACGCAACAAACCGUGUCACUGUGUGCAUUCUAUACGCCGGUGGUACUACUGGAACACGUGGACGUGUCGUCAUUUGCCGUAACAUUACCUACACACACACAACAUGGCCACGGCAGCGAAACAGUCGUCAACGUCGACGUCGCCCUCCAGCACCGUGCGAACGUUCGUCGAGGGCCAGGAGGAUUUGGAUGCGAUCGCAAAGCAAAUCUCCGACCACGCGGAAGCCAUCUAUCAGACCUGGAAAGCGCGCGGUUUAGCACCGACCGAAAUCCUCAACUGUCACACCGGUGACGGUGCCGAGCAUGCCUUCAGCCAGGCGUUAAACCCUGCAAACACACCGACCCAUCCGGCCGGCGGACCCAGCGGUACAAUAUCCAGCGGACAGUCCAGUCCAGCGGGUGUUGUGCCGGGCGGCAGUGUGUCACCGACUGGCAACGCGGCCGGUGUAGCGGAGCUGCUUGCCAAGGCGCCGAACCUCUCCAACAACAGCCUCGAGCAGCUGGUUAGUUCGUUCGUGAAUGAAGAUAAGGCGCGCAUAGCGGCCCAGCGUCAGCAGCAGCAGCAGCAACGUGGAGGAGUUGUUGUCCGUACGCCGACGACCGGCACAAGUUCCGUGAUCAAAAGUGUUUUGCAAAAGUUCGAACGUAAUGGUGCCAUUGGUGGUGAGGAUACAGUGAGCGGUGGUGUAUCGGACGUCGUGGGUAGACCGAGUUAUUUACGCACCGGUGGUACCGGCGCCGGGAACACCAAACCUUCGAGCCAUUUAAGUAAUAGCAGUAGCAACAACAAUAAUAAUAAUUUUAACACGCUAAAUAAGAAUAACGUGCCGGACGUGCUGAAGGACACGAUCGUAGAGUCAAAGCCGGGCGGAACUGUGCGCGAAAAACCGCAAACCCCAGUGAAACCGGAGCACCUGCUCAACCAUGUGCCGAGCUGGCCGUUAAAGAAUCGUGUCGUUAAAACUGGAGGCGCCGGCCCGAAGGUGAUCGGUGGCGGUACGACCACACCCGUCAGCUUUGCGAAGAACACCGCGGAUCUUAUGGAUGAAGUGUCACGGGAAGAGGAACGUCUGAUAAACGCGCUAAAAACCGGUACCGUGUUGAAUAGUAGUGAUAGUAUUUUACCAGAAGUGAUCACCUCGACUCUGCCCGAUCGCGACGUCCCAGACUACGGUUCGGUUGUGGACCAUCGGGCACAGCUGGCAGGACUGAGUAGUGGUGCCGGCAGCAGCCACAGUGCUAGUGGUGGUGGGAUUUACAACCCUCAAUCCGGUCCCGUCGGUGCGAUGGUGACCGCGGCAUCCGCAGGUAAUGGUGGCGGCCCGAUCGUGGCCGCCACCAACGGUACGCCGACACUGAACGGCAACGGUACGACGAAUGGGACGGGCAAUGGUACUACAAAUCACGGCUCCGGUGACACGCCAAGCGUGAAACACUGGAACGGGGUACCGAUGAAGCCGAACCACAUACCGAUCCUGAACAUACAUCAGAUACGCGAGCAGGAAAAGCUGUCGAUGAAUUUUACGCGCAACGUUGCGACGACCCGGUUACCGAAGGACUUUGGCCGCACAUCGGUCGACGAUGAAAAGAAGCUAAACAUGCAGCCGAAAACCAUACCGAGCCCGAUACGUCCCUUCCUGUCCCGUGGAUCCGUCGCGGAACGUGUGCUCAUUUUCGAAAAGUGUCCCGAGAAAGCACCACCACGGGAACGGGUGAAAGAACCGGUUAAGCUACAGUCCAAGCCUGUCAACCGACUGAUUCCGCCAAACAUUCACGCAACGCUGCAGCGACAUCUGAAAAACUCAACCAAAGCCCCCUACAUACCGCAAUUCCAUUUCCCAAAUGGCAAACCACCUCCCACGAUUACGACGGAAACUACGAUGCAGCGGUUGGAACAGGUUUUCGACAAGAUGCCAAACUACGAGUGCACCCGAGACAGCUUCCAGGUGAUCGUUCAGAUGUGCCAAGUGCCCCAAUACUGGCGCUUGCCACUGUUUAUGUGUACGCAGCUAACCCCGAACGGUGCCGUUGACGGUGACAAAUUCCUUCACUUCUGGCGACAGAUGACAUCAUUUUGUCACGAUGCAGCAUCACGAUUUGUCUACAUAAUGUCCCGGGGUGAUCGUACCCGACCGUACAUCUUACCGGAAGACUUUGCACCAUUGAUACAGGAUGUGGUGGAUACGCAUCCAGGUUUGGCAUUCCUUAAGGAGGCUGCCGAAUUUCACUCCCGCUACGUACACACCGUGAUAGCACGUAUCUUCUACAAUGUGAACCGUAGUUGGACUGGGAAAAUUACGACGGCCGAACUGCGCAAGUCAAACCUGCUCGAUGUGAUUCAGCUGUUGGAGGAGGAGGAAGAUAUCAAUCAGAUUAUGGCGUACUUCAGCUAUGAACAUUUCUACGUCAUCUAUUGCAAAUUCUGGGAACUGGAUCGCGAUCAUGAUCUUUACAUUGACCAGCAAGAUCUGGCCAGACAUAAUGAUCAUGCUCUGUCGUCGCGUAUGAUCGAAAGGAUCUUUUCCGGAUGCGUUACGCGAAGUCCCCGACGAGGCAAUAACAAUCCGAUGAUACAGGGCCCGAAUGGUCCAAAAAUGUCGUACACCGAUUUUGUGUGGUUCCUGCUAGCGGAAGAGGACAAAUCACAUCCGACUGCCAUCGAGUAUUGGUUCCGGUGUAUGGAUGUCGAUGGUGACGGUGUCCUUUCAAUGUACGAGCUAGAGUACUUCUAUGAAGAGCAACAGCAUCGCAUGGAAUCGCUCGGAAUAGAAACACUUCCAUUCGAAGACUGCCUGUGUCAAAUGUUAGAUAUGAUAAAACCAGCAACGCCUGGCUGUGUAACAUUGGCCGAUCUGAAACGAUGCAAGAUGACACCCAUCUUCUACGACACAUUCUUCAAUCUGGAGAAAUACAUGGAGCACGAACAGCGUGAUCCAUUUGCACAGCGUGAAAAUGAUGAUCUUUCCGAUUGGGAUCGAUAUGCGGCCCAGGAGUAUGAACUGUUGGUGGCUGAGGAAGGCGGAGAUACGCAAGGGGAGGAAGAGACCCGAUAAAGAUAGGUGAAGAUGAUUUACAAGAACGAAUUGUUAAGCACGUAGCACACUAUUUAUAGGGCUCUUAUGAUGAGGACGAGGACUACGAACCAAACAUAGAUAUCCUCGAGUCACAGUUAGAUGAUUGCAUACUGAACGAGUGGUGAGAAAAGGUGAAAAUAGAGUCGGCCGAGGACUUCGAGCAGGCCGAACGGGCCAUUCAAGAACAGUUGAAUCGACUCUAAAAAAAAACAUCACAAACACAAAUACACAGUUUAUGAGAUAACCGUGGGCAUUACGGAAGGAUAAACACAUGGAUAUAUUUCAUCGAGCAAGGAAAUUAAAAACACAAGCCACUUUGUUCAUAUACGAACACGCCGUGUAAAGCAGAUAAAAAUGGCAAGCCGAUCCAACAUACAAACGUUUGCAAAAUGAUAAAAUAGAGCGUCGUAAAGAGAAAGAGAGAAAAAAAAUGGCCGAAGGGGGGAAUCGCGAUACAUUACAAAAAGCAACACUCAACAAUGCUACUACUAGCGGAUGGAACAACAUCUUCAUCAGUGUAACAACAGCUACCCGCUAAUCGCUACAAUCGCUACUACUAUUACUAUUGCUGCUACUACUACUACUACCACUACCACUACAAAUACUACCAUCUUUGGCAAUAUUAACUGGCAUUAUGAAUGCAAUUGGUUAAAAACUAGUAACUUCAAAUUCAAGAACUCACCCGUUUUCAACUACUAUUCAAAGAACGCUUUUAUAGCUAAAAUGUCAAUGUGUUAGUAUAUGUACGUACUGUAAAAUUUAUAAAAUUAUAGCUUCCGUUCUGCCAAAAGCUCUCAUGCCCCAGCUUAGAUCUUUAUGUUGAGAAGAAGAAAAAAAAGUAACAACAAAACACUCGGGAAUUAACAUUUUGCGGUAACGAACGAAAUGACAGAACCGACAAAGCGUCAUUUUGCAAAGGAUUAAAAAAAAACAAACAAUUUUGUGUGAUUAAAUCUAAAUAGUUACCAUGCGCUCAACACUGUUAACAAUUACAGCAUAUUGUGAUGCACUCGCAACUUCUACAAACAGUGAUUGGCGCAAAACGUAAUGCGUAAUUAUCUGCUUUCUUAUACGCUCGUUGCAGGUGUUGCCUCUGUUUUGUGUUACCAAAUUAAACUACUUGUCAUAUCAUAAUCAUACGCCCCCCCUUCGACUACGUCAUAAUAUCACUAAAUUUUGUACAUUUUGGAAUCAUUUCAUAGGUUUCACGAGCAGCGAGCGUAUCGUAUCGGCAUGCACAGACCCAACCAUCUUCAAAUGAUAGGACCAGAAAAUAUUGUCUAAAAGUAGUUAUCCAAAAAACGCGGAUUUAGCGAACCACCAACACGUAUCUGCGGGUGAUAUUUGUAGUGUAGUGAAGCGAGGGAGAUUCGUUUUUAGCCAACCAGCCACCAAGAAAUACAUUGUGAGGUAUACUUACUACCUAAAUUGUAUUGGUUUAAGGUAGAUAUAAUUGCCGGUAGUUCGAACAGUCCGAUAUUAGUAGUUUUUUAGCUUUUUGUUGUUGCUAGUAAUAGACUUAUGACGCUAACAUGUUAGUAAAACUCGAACGGACAAACUGUAUGACCGAACAAGUGAAUUGUUUGCAUAGUCUGUUGUUUCUCCAUUGGGUGUACUCUCUUGCGUUUAAGUGAACCAAUGCACGAGCAGUAACAACAUUCAUCAGCUACUUUAUGUUAAGAUGUUUCGUAUAAGCUUUACAACGGUGCCAAAAUAAUUGUUUCGUUACGUUUUUAGCGUUAUCUAUUAGGUGUUACACUUGCGAUAACUUCGAGAAAGAUGAAAGGUAUUGAUUUUUUAUGUACAUGUUUUCUUAAGUGUCUCUCCCGCAGAGAUGGGAUUUUUGGGGCAGCUUAAUUGAGAUAAGCAUUGCGCGAUAGAUUCGUAAGCUGUCAUUGUACGCUGUGGCUUGCGUGCACUAAUCCGUCCGUGCGUACAAAGAUGUUCCGCACCGAAAGGGUUUUGAUUGGAAAUUUUGUGACAUCUCGUGACAACGUACAUCAAUCGUAAGCUUAAUGCUUUUCAUGAUUUAAUCUCGCCAUUCCCCUGCCAUGAUCGAUACCACCACUGCAAUCGUUGUGCGCGCCGUUGGCUAAACAUCAUCCAGGGUUUUUCUCAUCGUGCUACUUACUCAUCUCUGUCAUCGCUUCACCAGGGACAUCAUUGACAUCGAACCCAUCGUAUUCUUACGUACGGCGAUCAUCGAUCGUCGGCAGCAUAAUUCGUUUCACUUUCACCGUAACCAAGAUUCAUUGUGGUUCGAAUGGAAAUGUAGAGAGAGAGAGACAUACAUAGAAGCAAACAGUCAUAAAAUGACAAUACAAAUACAAAUACAAGUGCGUGGAAAACGGUACAUAAACAAGUUUGCCAUUGAAAAAAAAAAAAGAUUCUUAAACAAAUACUUCAGAAUGAAUGUAAAAAUUUCCUCUCAGUUUGUGUAUUUCGAGGUUCGUUGUGCUGUUCCGUUUUACCGUACAUUUAAAAAAAAGCUCCGUUUGUCACCAGUAUAGCCGGACACUAAAGCGAACUGUUUAAAUUAUCCAUAGGAAAAACAGCGAUGACAGUGACGACAGUGACAGCGAAAAGAUCAGCCUCAGGAUAAGUUGGCGCGAGCGGUAUUUACGCAAGCGACGCAAUAAGAAGAAACGGCGAUAGACACUAGGCGCCUCCAUCGUUCGUACCAUCCGUGUUCCCACUAUAUAUAUAAAGCCGUUCCUACAUCCUUAUGAUCCUCUGUUCAUCCUCUAUCCCUUUCUUCUUCCUACUUCCUUCCUUCCCUAGCGAUGUCGUCUAUCGUGUCAUCUGUAGUAAUUGAAUGACGAAGAAAUGAAAAUAGAAGAAAAACUAAUACAUAGUGACGCAAACGGAUUUCCUGUAACAGACCGGUGUGCUAGGCGGAUUAGUUCUAUAAUCAAAACAAACUAAUUGUUUAUGACAAAAGGAUGAAUUUGUUGGAAGGAAGAAAAGAACACAAUGCCACAGCAUUGUGUAAACAAAGAAAGAGAGAGGACAUAUUUUAAACUCAGUGUCAACCGGAUCAGUCAGAAAUGAUUGAUAAGCGCGAUAUUUGUUCAGUGUAGACAUCAGAAAACAACAAAAUUAACCGAUAACCAUUUCAUUGCAAAAGAGGUACGUGACUGAGAGUAAAUGUGAACCGGAGUAAGCAGUAAACCAUAUAACUACUCAAUGUGACGGUGUUUUAGGAAACUUAAGAAACAUUUUGUACUAAUCUAAAAAAUAAAAAAAAACACAGUGCAUCGGUGUGCAACCAUGCGCAUGCUGGUUAAUUGCAAAUUUUAACCCAGUUUAAAGGAAUUGUAAUUGUAAAUAGAAAGGAACAAAACCGCAGUAAACUGGUUGAGAAGAUCGUACAUGUUCCAAAUCAAAUCUUUCACAUAGAAGCGAAAUGGGGAUGAAUUAAUCUGAAGCCGACUGCAUAACGUUUCUGUGAGACAUAUAUAUAUAAUAUAUUAGACAUAGAUACCACUCGAAACGGAAUUUAGCAAGGAAAAAGAAAGCGCAUAUCUAGCCUAUAAUUAACCUGUGUAACUCUUAUCUAGUCCAGUUAUAUUUGUGCUAAAUUUCUAACUGCUAAUUCUGCAAAUAAAUAUAAAUAUAUAUUCUUACAUGUACUGGAUACUUUCACAUCAAAUUCUAUGCGCGGUCGAUACUAAAUCGCUAUCAAAAUCGAUGUGUUCCGGAGUGAGUUGAAAGCAGUUUUAGGUUGCCUUGUAUUCAAAGGACUAGUUAAAUAAUGAGACACAUCUGCUUGUAGUUAAACAUCUUCUAUACAAUAAUAACACCGAAAAAAGGAUACACGGUUAAGGUUCUGUUAAGCAGAAUGAAACCUGUUUGACAAGAAAAAUAAAUCCUGAAAAUGAAGGUGCACGAGAUUUGGUGGUUCCAUUGUUAAGUUUUGUUUUUUGCUCCUUAUUCGCGCGGUUACGUUUGUUGGAGAAAAGGUUUAUUAAAAGCGCACGAUUAUUUGAGCUACUUUUCCUAUAAUUCACAACAUGAGCUUAUUACUUGCAAACGGUAGCAUAUGUUUCGUACACAAUUCGUUGCUGUACAUUAGCAAGAGUUAAUUUUUUGCGUAAUGAUCGGUACAAUGUUUUUUCGCUUGUAGACACUAAAACCCAUGACUAAACUGGAUAUUCAGACACAUUAAAUGGUAGCUUGCUGAUGAGUGGUGUCGAGCAAAUCUCCUUUGCAGCGAGACAGUAAAACAUGAUUGUAACCCUACUAUACUAAGUGAUCGCAGCUAAACAUGACACCAUAUUUUACAAAGAAAAGAAAGCAAGCAAAAUUAAAAGUCGUGGAAAAUUGGGAAGAAAAACAAAGUUGAAAUAAAAAUAAAAGUACAUAGAAAAACGUACCGCAAGGAAUAUAUUUGAAAUCGGCGAUGCAAAAUUUAGCGGGUGGCAAGAUAAAAAUGAAAAAAGGGUGGAAUUGUGGCAUAGACGCCUGUUGCCGUUAAUAAGCUAAUCGAACCCGAUUACGCAGGCAAGGUGAAAACAAACGCGAAAUAGAAAGAACUGAACAUUAUUUAAUUUUUGUGAGUAACCGUAACAAUGUAGAGCGUGUGAAAUUAAGGAGAGAAAACAAAAUAAAAAAACGCAUUAAUCUUAAGUAAAUGGAAAUGUCAAAAAGAAAAACCCAUCUUUCAGGUAGUAGCAUUUGUAAAUUGCUGCUAAAAUAGAACCUCCUACUGCCGGACGAGAUCGGCUUGCCAUCAUACAAAACACGUGACCGGUCAGGAUAUAGGAGUUUAGUAUUUUCUUAGAAGUAAGUGUAAUACGUUAAAGAAUUUUACCAUUUUUUUGGUUUUCUUUUAGAUUAUUGCGGAAAUAUAACAGGAUCCAGAAAAAAAGAUGGUCUUUGUGUAGCGGUAGUGGAAGUAGUAGUAAAAAAAUAAACAAUGAAAGUAAAGAUCGAUCGACGAUAUGCGUGUAAAGGCACUAUUGUAAUGUUGUGCUUCGAUCGUUUGAAGCCCUUGUGUUUGGAUGUAAGAGAUUUACUUUGUUUUACUUUUUUAUUUAAAGAACUAAUUUCGAUUGUUUGUUUUCAUAUGAUUAUUUGUUUGUUUUAGUAGUUUUUACAUUAUUUAUAACUAUUCCACAAUUAUCAAACAAAAAAACCCCUUUAGCCCUGUACGGAAAUAAUGAUUAGGUGUAUAUGAGACGGAGAAGAAAAAAACCCAACUAAACGUAAAAAUGAAAAUAAUUUCGAAUGUAACGGCGUGUUUACAAUACGAUAAGAUGGAAACGCAACUGUAAACAGAGACGAUAAGAAAAAGGACGAGGGAAUUUGAUAAAACCGAUCUGUGUAAAAUUGAUCGAUAAAUUAUUAAAUUAUUUAAAAGCGAAA
Molecule: RNA transcript, 10047 nt
Organism: Anopheles funestus (African malaria mosquito)
Lineage: Eukaryota; Metazoa; Arthropoda; Insecta; Diptera; Culicidae
Exons: 10
Source: RefSeq, a predicted model, not a curated record